This 1358-nucleotide ribosomal RNA is filed under the name Staphylococcus aureus. RNAcentral's name for it is "partial 23S ribosomal RNA". It matches the Rfam family "Bacterial large subunit ribosomal RNA", at positions 101 to 1461 of the family's 2925-position model. Lineage: Bacteria; Bacillati; Bacillota; Bacilli; Caryophanales; Staphylococcaceae. The record is from RNAcentral.
GAUCCAGAGAUUUCCGAAUGGGGAAACCCAGCAUGAGUUAUGUCAUGUUAUCGAUAUGUGAAUACAUAGCAUAUCAGAAGGCACACCCGGAGAACUGAAACAUCUUAGUACCCGGAGGAAGAGAAAGAAAAUUCGAUUCCCUUAGUAGCGGCGAGCGAAAUGGGAAGAGCCCAAACCAACAAGCUUGCUUGUUGGGGUUGUAGGACACUCUAUACGGAGUUACAAAGGACGACAUUAGACGAAUCAUCUGGAAAGAUGAAUCAAAGAAGGUAAUAAUCCUGUAGUCGAAAAUGUUGUCUCUCUUGAGUGGAUCCUGAGUACGACGGAGCACGUGAAAUUCCGUCGGAAUCUGGGAGGACCAUCUCCUAAGGCUAAAUACUCUCUAGUGACCGAUAGUGAACCAGUACCGUGAGGGAAAGGUGAAAAGCACCCCGGAAGGGGAGUGAAAUAGAACCUGAAACCGUGUGCUUACAAGUAGUCAGAGCCCGUUAAUGGGUGAUGGCGUGCCUUUUGUAGAAUGAACCGGCGAGUUACGAUUUGAUGCAAGGUUAAGCAGUAAAUGUGGAGCCGUAGCGAAAGCGAGUCUGAAUAGGGCGUUUAGUAUUUGGUCGUAGACCCGAAACCAGGUGAUCUACCCUUGGUCAGGUUGAAGUUCAGGUAACACUGAAUGGAGGACCGAACCGACUUACGUUGAAAAGUGAGCGGAUGAACUGAGGGUAGCGGAGAAAUUCCAAUCGAACCUGGAGAUAGCUGGUUCUCUCCGAAAUAGCUUUAGGGCUAGCCUCAAGUGAUGAUUAUUGGAGGUAGAGCACUGUUUGGACGAGGGGCCCCUCUCGGGUUACCGAAUUCAGACAAACUCCGAAUGCCAAUUAAUUUAACUUGGGAGUCAGAACAUGGGUGAUAAGGUCCGUGUUCGAAAGGGAAACAGCCCAGACCACCAGCUAAGGUCCCAAAAUAUAUGUUAAGUGGAAAAGGAUGUGGCGUUGCCCAGACAACUAGGAUGUUGGCUUAGAAGCAGCCAUCAUUUAAAGAGUGCGUAAUAGCUCACUAGUCGAGUGACACUGCGCCGAAAAUGUACCGGGGCUAAACAUAUUACCGAAGCUGUGGAUUGUCCUUUGGACAAUGGUAGGAGAGCGUUCUAAGGGCGUUGAAGCAUGAUCGUAAGGACAUGUGGAGCGCUUAGAAGUGAGAAUGCCGGUGUGAGUAGCGAAAGACGGGUGAGAAUCCCGUCCACCGAUUGACUAAGGUUUCCAGAGGAAGGCUCGUCCGCUCUGGGUUAGUCGGGUCCUAAGCUGAGGCCGACAGGCGUAGGCGAUGGAUAACAGGUUGAUAUUCCUGUACCACCUAUAAUCGUUUUA